Molecule: unclassified non-coding RNA, 500 nt
Filed under: uncultured Glomus
Lineage: Eukaryota; Fungi; Glomeromycota; Glomeromycetes; Glomerales; Glomeraceae
Description: SSU rRNA
Rfam family: Eukaryotic small subunit ribosomal RNA
Source: RNAcentral
CCAAUAGCGUAUAUUAAAGUUGUUGCAGUUAAAAAGCUCGUAGUUGAAUUUCGGGGUUAGUAAGUUGGUCGUGCCACUGGUAUGUACUGGCUUUACUGAUUCCUCCUUCUUGUAGAACCGUAAUGCCAUUAAGUUGGUGUUGCGGGGAAACAGGACUGUUACUUUGAAAAAAUUAGAGUGUUUAAAGCAAGCUAACGCUUGAAUACAUUAGCAUGGAAUAAUGAAAUAGGACGUUCGAUCCUAUUUUGUUGGUUUCUAGGAUUGACGUAAUGAUUAAUAGGGAUAGUUUGGGGCAUUAGUAUUCAAUUGUCAGAGGUGAAAUUCUUGGAUUUAUUGAAGACUAACUACUGCGAAAGCAUUUGCCAAGGAUGUUUUCAUUAAUCAAGAACGAAAGUUAGGGGAUCGAAGACGAUCAGAUACCGUCGUAGUCUUAACCAUAAACUAUGCCGACUAGGGAUCGGAUGAUGUUAAUUUUAUAAUGACUCAUUCGGCGCCUUACG